This 486-nucleotide ribosomal RNA is filed under the name uncultured bacterium. Its description in RNAcentral is "partial 16S ribosomal RNA". It matches the Rfam family "Bacterial small subunit ribosomal RNA", at positions 28 to 507 of the family's 1533-position model. The record is from RNAcentral.
GACGAACGCUGGCGGCGUGCUUAACACAUGCAAGUCGAACGCUUAAGACCUGGCUUUUGUUGGGUUCGAUGAGUGUCGAACGGGUUAUUCACACGUUCGUAACCUGCCCUCUUCUUUGGGAUCACGCCCGGAAACGGGUUCUAAUACUGGAUAUUCACUGCUCUUCGCAUGUUGGUCGGUGCACAGGUUUGUUCUGGUGGGUUAUUGGCUCGCGGCCUAUCAGCUGGUUGGUGGGGUGAUGGCCUACAAAGGCUUUUACGUGUAGCCGGCCUGAGAGGGUGACCGGUCACAUUGGGACUGAGAUACGGCACAGACUGAGACGGGAGGCAGCAGUGGGGAAUAUUGGACAAUGGACGAAAGCCGGAUGCAGCGACGCUGCGUGAGGUAUGGAGGCCUGUGAGUUGCAAGCCGCUUGCGGUCAUGGUCAAGCCGAAAUUGUGGGUUGUGGUGAGGGUAGUGGGUAAAGAAGCGCCGGCUAACUACGUG